AAAAAGUCCGUAGUCAUAGAAGGGCAAAGAGAGAUGCGAGGUCUCACAGUGCGAUGAUGGAGGAGCCGAUGGGGAACAUAGUAUACCAGGGCGAGAGAUGAAAUGCCAAGACCCCUGGUGGACUGAGCGAGGCGAAGGCGAUGUUCUUGUAGGCAUUCGGUGAUCAAGGACGAAGGCUGGAGUAUCGAAAGUGAUUAGAUACCGCAGUAGUUCCAGCAGUAAAAGAUGCCGACAUGCUCAUUGGACACAGUGGGCAGGGAGAAAUCUUAGAGUUCGGGCUCUGGGGAUAGUAUGCUCGCAAGGGUGAAAAUUAAAGAAAUUGACGGAGCUACACCACAAGGAGUGGAUUGUGCGGCUUAAUUUGACUCAACGCGAGGAAACUUACCAGGGCCAAGUAUUGUGUAGAAACGAGCAAUACAGGAGUGGUGCAUGGUCGUUGGAAAUUGAUGGGAUGACUUUGACCUUAAAUGGUUGAAUGAGUGAGAUCUUUUGGACAUGUUCCGCACGGAACAGGAAGGAAAAGGCUAUAACAGAUCCGAGAUGCCCUCAGAUGCCCUGGGCUGCACGCGCAAUACAAUAGCAGGUAGAGAGAGAGACAGGAAGGUGCUCAGAUGGACUAUGUGCUGUAAGGCACAUACGAAAGAGGAA
Molecule: ribosomal RNA, 648 nt
Filed under: Vittaforma corneae
Lineage: Eukaryota; Fungi; Microsporidia; Nosematidae
Description: SSU rRNA
Rfam family: Microsporidia small subunit ribosomal RNA
Source: RNAcentral